CCCUGAGUGGCACAAAUGGUCAAGCACUUGGCUAUGAACCAAAAGGUUGGUAGUUCAAAUCUACCCAGAGGCA
Molecule: transfer RNA, 73 nt
Filed under: Loxodonta africana (African savanna elephant)
Lineage: Eukaryota; Metazoa; Chordata; Mammalia; Proboscidea; Elephantidae
Rfam family: tRNA
About the family: Transfer RNA (tRNA) molecules are approximately 80 nucleotides in length. Their secondary structure includes four short double-helical elements and three loops (D, anti-codon, and T loops).
Source: Rfam by way of RNAcentral